AACGAACGCUGGCGGCGUGCUUAACACAUGCAAGUCGAGCGAUGAAACACCUUCGGGUGCGGAUUAGCGGCGAACGGGUGAGGAACACGUGAGGAAUCUGCCUUCCACUCUGGGAUAACUCCGGGAAACCGGGGCUAAUACCGGAUACUUUCAACUGGCGGCAUCGCCGGUUGAAGAAAGUUUUUCGGUGGAAGAUGACCUCGCGGCCUAUGAGCUUGUUGGUGAGGUAAAGGCUCACCAAGGCGACGACGGGUAGCCGGCCUGAGAGGGCGACCCGCCACACUGGGACUGAGACACGGCCCAGACUCCUACGGGAGGCAGCAGUGGGGAAUAUUGGGCAAUGGAGCAAACUCUGACCCAGCGACGCCGCGUGAGGGAUGAAGGCCUUCGGGUUGUAAACCUCUUUCAGCAGGGAAUAAGCGAAAGUGAAGGUACCUGCAGAAGAAGCACCGGCUAACUAUGUGCCAGCAGCCGCAGUAA
RNAcentral lists this ribosomal RNA (480 nucleotides) under uncultured bacterium. RNAcentral describes it as "partial 16S ribosomal RNA". It matches the Rfam family "Bacterial small subunit ribosomal RNA", at positions 29 to 523 of the family's 1533-position model. The record is from RNAcentral.